This 126-nucleotide ribosomal RNA is filed under the name Diaphorina citri (Asian citrus psyllid). Lineage: Eukaryota; Metazoa; Arthropoda; Insecta; Hemiptera; Psyllidae. The record is from RNAcentral.
AAUUCAAGCAAUAGCACGUUAAAUGCAUCAGUUCCCAUCGGAUCACUAAAGUUAAGCAACGUUGCGCGUGGUUGGUAUUUGGACGAGUUCGAUUUCAGGACGAUAAGACCUUAGCAGUUACAGUUC